This 378-nucleotide ribosomal RNA is filed under the name uncultured organism. Its description in RNAcentral is "partial 16S ribosomal RNA". It matches the Rfam family "Bacterial small subunit ribosomal RNA", at positions 526 to 896 of the family's 1533-position model. The record is from RNAcentral.
GUAGGGGGGCGAGCGUUGUCCGGGAUUUAUUGGGGCGUAAAGAGCUCGUAGGCGGCUCAGCAAGUCGGCCGUGAAAGCCUGAGGGCUCAACCUCAGGACGCCGGUCGAAACUGCUGUGGCUAGGGUUCGGUAGAGGAGAGUGGAAUUCCCGGUGUAGCGGUGAAAUGCGCAGAUAUCGGGAGGAACACCAGUAGCGAAGGCGGCUCUCUGGGCCGAUACCGACGCUGAGGAGCGAAAGCUAGGGGAGCGAACAGGAUUAGAUACCCUGGUAGUCUUAGCUGUAAACGUUGGGCACUAGGUGUGGCGGACUCAUUGACGUCUGCCGUGCCGAAGCUAACGCAUUAAGUGCCCCGCCUGGGGAGUACGGUCGCAAGGCUA